GAUGAAGAACGCAGCGAAAUGCGAUAAGUAAUGUGAAUUGCAGAAUUCAGUGAAUCAUCGAAUCUUUGAACGCACAUUGCGCCCGCCAGUAUUCUGGCGGGCAUGCCUGUUCGAGCGUCAUUACAACCCUCAGGCCCCCGGGCCUGGCGUUGGGGAUCGGCGGAGCCCCCCGUGGGCACACGCCGUCCCCCAAAUGCAGUGGCGGUCCCGCCGCAGCUUCCAUCGCGUAGUAGCUAACACCUCGCGACUGGAGAGCGGCGCGCCCACGCCGUAAAACACCCAACUCUUCUGAAGUUGACCUCGAAUCAGGUAGGAAUACCCGCUGAACUUAAGCAUAUCAAUAAGCGGAGGA
RNAcentral lists this unclassified non-coding RNA (352 nucleotides) under soil metagenome. RNAcentral's name for it is "partial contains 5.8S ribosomal RNA, internal transcribed spacer 2, and large subunit ribosomal RNA". The stretch from base 1 to 120 matches the Rfam family "5.8S ribosomal RNA", at positions 35 to 154 of the family's 154-position model. The record is from RNAcentral.